GUACACGAACCAAGACUUGUCUUUCCUGUUCGCCUCUCCGUCUAUUUCUCCUGUUCGCCCUCGAUCGGCCGUCAGACACCGGCAGGUCGGCCGCAGCGCCGGCGCCCGGCGAUUGUUGUGCAAAACUCCAUAUUCGAGGUUAUGGAAUUAAAAAAAUGGAUCGACAGAUCCAAAUGAUGAUGCAUUUCACGGCCACCCAUCAGGCGAGGUGCAUCAAAUGUUGUCGCUGCAAACAGUCUUUCAAAGCCUUCUAUUCAAAGAGAAAUUAAUUUGGAUGAGUUGCCUUAUGAUUCCGCUAAUUGGUAGAGAAUUUCAUAAUACACAAGAAAUUCUAAGAAGCGAGACAAGAUUAGGUGAAGAUAUUUAACAGGGAGACCAGUGUUCUCUCAAUUUCUAAAGAUAGUACUGGUAUUAUCAGUUGCCGCAACAUCUGUCUAAGAGAUACUUUUCACUAUGAAUGUUGUCAAGAAAAAGUUGCGCAAUAAAAUUGGAGAUCAGUUUAUGAGCCAUAGUCUAAUAUUCUAUUCAGAGAGAGCUAAUAUGUUUAUUGGUGACAGAUCGAAAAGGGGCACUCUAAAAUAAGGAUGGGAAUCUGCACAUGAAGCUAUUAAGUUACUUUGGUACUACUCUAUUUCUAAACAGGUGAUUUUUACAAUUUUAUCUAGCAGGUAUGUCUUGCUUUCUUUAGUUUUGAUGUAAUAACUAUCUAUGAUAAGUGAUAUCAUUUUUGUGUCUAUUAUGAAUUUUUAGUAUUAUUAUUUUUAAAGAGACUUCUAUUUUCUUUAUAUAAGGCGGUGUAAAACUAGACUUAACAAAAUUAUUUGAUGAUAAAUCCUCACAAUAAGUCAAUGAAUGAACCCAUCGGCCAAAAUUUCUGGCUCCGCCC
Long non-coding RNA from Triticum aestivum (bread wheat), 886 nucleotides. RefSeq lists it as uncharacterized. The record is from RefSeq and is a predicted model, not a curated record. NCBI's taxonomy places the organism in Eukaryota, Viridiplantae, Streptophyta, Magnoliopsida, Poales, Poaceae. The transcript is spliced from 3 exons.